This 468-nucleotide ribosomal RNA is filed under the name uncultured bacterium. RNAcentral describes it as "partial 16S ribosomal RNA". It matches the Rfam family "Bacterial small subunit ribosomal RNA", at positions 28 to 507 of the family's 1533-position model. The record is from RNAcentral.
GACGAACGCUGGCGGCGUGCUUAACACAUGCAAGUCGAACGGAAAGGCCCUGCUUUUGUGGGGUGCUCGAGUGGCGAACGGGUGAGUAACACGUGAGUAACCUGCCCUUGACUUUGGGAUAACUUCAGGAAACUGGGGCUAAUACCGGAUAGGAGCUCCUGCUGCAUGGUGGGGGUUGGAAAGUUUCGGCGGUUGGGGAUGGACUCGCGGCUUAUCAGCUUGUUGGUGGGGUAGUGGCUUACCAAGGCUUUGACGGGUAGCCGGCCUGAGAGGGUGACCGGCCACAUUGGGACUGAGAUACGGCCCAGACUCCGACGGGAGGCAGCAGUGGGGAAUAGUGCACAAUGGGCGGAAGCCUGAUGCAGCAACGCCGCGUGCGGGAUGACGGCCUUCGGGUUGUAAACCGCUUUCGCCUGUGACGAAGCGGGAGUGACGGUAAUGGGUAAAGAAGCACCGGCUAACUACGUG